RNAcentral lists this ribosomal RNA (258 nucleotides) under Triticum aestivum (bread wheat). RNAcentral describes it as "partial small subunit ribosomal RNA". The record is from RNAcentral. Lineage: Eukaryota; Viridiplantae; Streptophyta; Magnoliopsida; Poales; Poaceae.
AUGCAGGAGAGGUGCAGCGCGGGGUUUGGAGCUCCCACGAGCUGGGUGUGGCGCAUCCGACGGCGACAGACACAGGGACGCGUUGAUCCGGGUGUGGGUGCUCAAUUCGGUCCCGUUCUGGCCGGAUCCGCGGCGGUGCUCAUCUCUGGCGAGGUGGCCUGUGACUCGCGGGACGACGGCGGCGCAAGACCACAGGAGGGGCUCAUCUCAUGGGACAGGGGCGCGAGGUCUUGUUGGCUUCGGUUGCUGGUGGCUUGA